AUACGGAGGAUCCGAGCGUUAUCCGGAUUUAUUGGGUUUAAAGGGUGCGUAGGUGGUUUGAUAAGUCAGCGGUGAAAGUUUGCAGCUUAACUGUAAAAAUGCCGUUGAAACUGUCGGACUUGAGUGUAAAUGAGGUAGGCGGAAUGCGUGGUGUAGCGGUGAAAUGCAUAGAUAUCACGCAGAACUCCGAUUGCGAAGGCAGCUUACUAAGCUACAACUGACACUGAAGCACGAAAGCGUGGGGAUCGAACAGGAUUAGAUACCCUGGUAGUCCACGCAGUAAGCGAUGAUUACUAGCUGUUUGCGAUACACAGUAAGCGGCACAGCGAAAGCGUUAAGUAAUCCACCUGGGGAGUACGCCGGCAACGGUGAAACUCAAAGGAAUUGACGGGG
RNAcentral lists this ribosomal RNA (393 nucleotides) under uncultured bacterium. RNAcentral's name for it is "partial 16S ribosomal RNA". It matches the Rfam family "Bacterial small subunit ribosomal RNA", at positions 523 to 918 of the family's 1533-position model. The record is from RNAcentral.